UACGUAGGGGGCAAGCGUUGUCCGGAUUUAUUGGGCGUAAAGAGCGUGUAGGCGGCCAGAUAGGUCAGCUGUGAAAACUCGAGGCUCAACCUCGAGACGUCGGUUGAAACCAUCUGGCUAGAGUCCGGAGGAGGAGAGUGGAAUUCCCGGUGUAGCGGUGAAAUGCGCAGAUAUCGGGAAGAACACCCGUGGCGAAGGCGGCUCUCUGGGACGGUACUGACGCUGAGACGCGAAAGCGUGGGGAGCGAACAGG
RNAcentral lists this ribosomal RNA (253 nucleotides) under uncultured bacterium. RNAcentral describes it as "partial 16S ribosomal RNA". It matches the Rfam family "Bacterial small subunit ribosomal RNA", at positions 524 to 776 of the family's 1533-position model. The record is from RNAcentral.